CGUAGGGUGCGAGCGUUAAUCGGAAUUACUGGGCGUAAAGCGUGCGCAGGCGGUUUUGUAAGACAGAUGUGAAAUCCCCGGGCUCAACCUGGGACCUGCAUUUGUGACUGCAAGGCUAGAGUACGGUAGAGGGGGAUGGAAUUCCGCGUGUAGCAGUGAAAUGCGUAGAUAUGCGGAGGAACACCGAUGGCGAAGGCAAUCCCCUGGACCUGUACUGACGCUCAUGCACGAAAGCGUGGGGAGCAAACAGGAUUAGAUACCCUGGUAGUCCACGCCCUAAACGAUGUCAACUGGUUGUUGGGUCUUUACUGACUCAGUAACGAAGCUAACGCGUGAAGUUGACCGCCUGGGGAGUACGGCCGCAAAGGUUG
RNAcentral lists this ribosomal RNA (371 nucleotides) under uncultured organism. RNAcentral describes it as "bacterial SSU rRNA". It matches the Rfam family "Bacterial small subunit ribosomal RNA", at positions 526 to 896 of the family's 1533-position model. The record is from RNAcentral.